AUGAACGAUUCCCGCUGCAGGCCUCAGAAAGAUUCCAUAGAGACGCCCAGGGGAGCCUGGGUCAACAAGAAGAGGCGUGGGGUAGGGAAGCGGAUGGCCCAAGAUGGACAGCUCUCCUUAUUGGGAGCCACAACAGCAACCACAGACACCAGAAUCAGAUGCUGUUCCAGCUGCCAUGGGAGACCAGGAGAGGAGGUUCCUGGCACACUCUGCACUCUCAGGAGCCCCUCACACAGGACGUCAGACGUUGCAGCUUGGGCCCCUCUUGACCGGACGGCAAGAACAGAGCUGCUGACAUCCACAGCCCAAGAUCCUUCUGAGAUCCCGGGGAGAGAUAGGUGCCCACGCGCCCAACGGUGCGUAUCUGUAGGUAGAACAGAAUGCAAAAGUCUUGCUCUCUUUUCCCCUGAGAGAAGAUUUUAAUGUCUGCAAUGCAAACGUUCUUUAGACAGCUGAAACCUUACAACAUUUUCCGGGACUGGGGCUCCUGAAACCCGAUUCCAAUUAUAAAUGCUAAUCGGUUUAAUGCAUGAUCAGCUUUAGAGAAGAAAUGUGAUUGCAGUUCAUUGAGAACUUUGCACAAACAGUGGAUAGAAUGUUGACAUAUCUAAGGAGCAGACUAUGUCAAAAAGAUUAGGACACUGACAUGUAUUUUGAUUCUCGCCUUUCAAAACCAGGUCUCACGUCUAUACCCACAAGGCCGCUUACUACAAUCACCCAUGAUUCUCUGCCUGAGUGUUUUUUCUUACCCUUGGAGCAUGCUGGACAUGACCCAAGGCCACUGGAAGUGUCAGAUAUUUAUUGCCUCUGCAAGUAGCGAGCCCUUUAUUAAUAAUGGUGGGGGGGUGUGGCACCUGGGUGGCUCAGUCAGUUAAGCGUCCAACUCUUGAUUUCGGCUCAGGCCACAAUCUCAGUUUGUGAGAUCAAGCCCCCCAACAGACAGUAUGGAGCCUGCUUGGGAUUCUCUCUCUCUCUCCCUCUCUCUCUCUGCCCCUCCUGUUCUCUCUCUCUCUCUCUCUCUCUCUCUCAAAAAUAAAUAAAAUAAACUUAAAAAAAUAAUGUUUGGG
RNAcentral lists this long non-coding RNA (1067 nucleotides) under Felis catus (domestic cat). RNAcentral's name for it is "lncRNA (ENSFCAG00000050319.1)". Lineage: Eukaryota; Metazoa; Chordata; Mammalia; Carnivora; Felidae. The record is from RNAcentral.